CCUUAGAGACCAACUAAGUUUGUUCUAGGUAUAAGCUUUCGUGUGCAUGCACACUUCUUCAGUUACACACUGAAGAUACACACUGAAGUGUUUAUCUGAAGAAGUGUGCACACAAAAGCUUAUACCAAAAACAAACUUAGUUGGUCUCUAAGG
Molecule: microRNA precursor, 153 nt
Filed under: Podarcis lilfordi (Lilford's wall lizard)
Lineage: Eukaryota; Metazoa; Chordata; Lepidosauria; Squamata; Lacertidae
Source: RNAcentral